GACGAACGCUGGCGGCGUGCUUAACACAUGCAAGUCGAACGGAAAGGCCCCUUUGGGGGUACUCGAGUGGCGCACGGGUGAGUAACACGUGAGUAACCUGCCCUUGACUUCGGGAUAACUUCAGGAAACUGGGGCUAAUACCGGAUAGGAAUCCUUGCUGCAUGGUGGGGGUUGGAAAGCUUCGGCGGUUUUGGAUGGACUCGCGGCUUAUCAGCUUGUUGGUGGGGUAGUGGCUUACCAAGGCUUUGACGGGUAGCCGGCCUGAGAGGGCGACCGGCCACAUUGGGACUGAGAUACGGCCCAGACUCCUACGGGAGGCAGCAGUGGGGAAUAUUGCACAAUGGGCGGAAGCCUGAUGCAGCAACGCCGCGUGCGGGAUGACGGCCUUCGGGUUGUAAACCGCUUUCAGCAGGGGCGAAGCUUGUGGUGACGGUACCUGCAGAAGAAGCACCGGCUAACUACGU
Molecule: ribosomal RNA, 464 nt
Filed under: uncultured bacterium
Lineage: Bacteria
Description: partial 16S ribosomal RNA
Rfam family: Bacterial small subunit ribosomal RNA
Source: RNAcentral